CAACAACUGAAAGGAGGUGACCAGUGUCUCAUUGUCUCCAACCGAGGUCGCGCAUCGUGACCUGGAGCCUGAAGAUAGAGGUAUCCGCCUAGAGGCGUUGAAUCGCUCCAGGUUUCAGUCACGCCGCGCACCGCGGCCACGACGAUGGAGGGCCGUUCCGGGCGACCGGAACGGCCC
Molecule: small RNA, 177 nt
Filed under: Caulobacter henricii
Lineage: Bacteria; Pseudomonadati; Pseudomonadota; Alphaproteobacteria; Caulobacterales; Caulobacteraceae
Description: caulobacter sRNA CC2171
Rfam family: caulobacter sRNA CC2171
Source: Rfam by way of RNAcentral